UGGUGGUUAUGGCGGAGCGGCUGCACCCGAUCCCAUUCCGAACUCGGCCGUGAAACGCUCCAGCGCCAAUGGUACUUUGUCUUAAGACACGGGAGAGUAGGUCGCUGCCAG
RNAcentral lists this ribosomal RNA (111 nucleotides) under Brucella anthropi. RNAcentral also lists the same sequence under 2 other names. Lineage: Bacteria; Pseudomonadati; Pseudomonadota; Alphaproteobacteria; Hyphomicrobiales; Brucellaceae. The record is from RNAcentral.